This 314-nucleotide unclassified non-coding RNA is filed under the name Hevea brasiliensis (rubber tree). The record is from RNAcentral. Lineage: Eukaryota; Viridiplantae; Streptophyta; Magnoliopsida; Malpighiales; Euphorbiaceae.
AUCUGGCUUACUGCGUUGGGCUUGCUCCUAAAUGGGAAAAAAUAACUGUAAAAUCAGGUCAUGGACGAUCAAAAUAUGGAGCUUGGCGUGUUUAUGCUGCAUCAGAUGCGGGCAGAAAACUGCCAGGUGGAUCACUUGUUAAAGACAUGGAGACCUCUUUUGAAGUACUAUCAGUGAAUGGUCUUGGGUGUUUUAAAGAGGUUUCUGACUUACAUAAAGAUGAAGAUAUAGUCAUAGUUCAAGAGAAAUCAGUCAUCGGUUGUGACUUGAAGAAAGAUGAGAUUUUGGUCAGGGCGAGCCCUCGGAGUGGAAGA